Molecule: non-coding RNA, 73 nt
Organism: Danionella cerebrum
Lineage: Eukaryota; Metazoa; Chordata; Actinopteri; Cypriniformes; Danionidae
Source: the annotation of a GenBank genome assembly
GGCUUGUUGGUCUAGAGUUAUGAUUCUCGCUUAGGGUGCGAGAGGUCGUGGGUUCAAAUCCUCGACGAAAUCA